GACGAACGCUGGCGGCGCGCUUAACACAUGCAAGUCGAACGGAAAGGCCUGCUUUCCCUUGUGGAUUGCGGGUACUCGAGUGGCGAACGGGUGAGUAACACGUGAGUGAUCUGCCCCCAACUUGGGUAUAAGCCUGGGAAACUGGGUCUAAUUCCCGAUAGGACUGCAGGGUGGUGCCUGUGGUGGAAAACGAUUUUCUAGUGGUUGGGGAUGAGCUCGCGGCCUAUCAGCUUGUUGGUGGGGUAAUGGCCUACCAAGGCGGCGACGGGUAGCCGGCCUGAGAGGGUGGACGGGCACAUUGGGACUGAGAUACGGCCCAGACUCCUACGGGAGGCAGCAGUGGGGAAUAUUGCACAAUGGGCGGAAGCCUGAUGCAGCGACGCCGCGUGGGGGAUGACGGCCUUCGGGUUGUAAACUCCUUUCGGCCGCGAGGAAGCCACCUGGUUGGAAGGGUGGUGACGGUAGUGGUAGAAGAAGCACCGGCUAACUACGG
This 493-nucleotide ribosomal RNA is filed under the name uncultured bacterium. RNAcentral's name for it is "partial 16S ribosomal RNA". It matches the Rfam family "Bacterial small subunit ribosomal RNA", at positions 28 to 506 of the family's 1533-position model. The record is from RNAcentral.